Molecule: ribosomal RNA, 1240 nt
Filed under: Myennis sibirica
Lineage: Eukaryota; Metazoa; Arthropoda; Insecta; Diptera; Ulidiidae
Description: partial 16S ribosomal RNA
Source: RNAcentral
UCAAUAUAAAUUGAGUUAAAAUUUAUUUAUUAAAUUUUUUAGUUAAUAGUUUAGAUUAUUAAAAAUAAUUGUAAAAUUUAUUGUUUUAGUAAUUUUUAAUGAAAAAAUAAUUUUUAUAAUAGUUAAUUAGUAUUGUGAAAGAAUAUUGAAAUAUUUUGAAAAAUUUUUAUUUAAAAAGAAGAUUUAGUUUAUCGUACCUUGUGUAUCAGGGUUUAUCAAUUAAAAAAUAAUUAUUUAUUUUUCUCGAUUUUAUAAGAGUUAAUAAAUUAUUAAAGUUAAUGUGUCAGAAUUAUUUUAAAUAAUUUAUUAGAAAUGAAAUGUUAUUCGUUUAUGAAGGUAUCUAGUUUUUUUAGAAAUAAAUUUAAUUUAUUAAUUUUGAAUCUUUUGUUUAUUUAAAAAAAUGUAAAGAUUUCUUAAUUAAAAUUUUCUAGGGGAUAAGCUUUAGAGAAAAUAUUUAAAAGUAGUUAAUUUAUUUAUAAAUAUGUAUGUAUAGAAUUUGCAAUCAUUUAUAAGUUUGUUAUAAAUUAUUAUAAUUUAUUUAUUAUUUAUUAAACUUUAAGUUUUUAUAAAAAUUUUGAAUUUAAUUAUUUAAUUCAAGUAAUAAUGAUAGAAUUAGUAUAUAUUUUUGUUUAAGUAAUUGUAAAUGGAAAGUUUAUGUAAAGAAUUCGGCAAAUUUGUAUGCCCGCCUGUUUAACAAAAACAUGUCUUUUUGAGUUAUUUUAAAAGUCUAGCCUGCCCAAUGAAUAAUUUUGAAUGGCCGCAGUAUUCUAACUGUGCAAAGGUAGCAUAAUCAUUAGUCUUUUAAUUGAAGGCUGGUAUGAAUGGUUGGACGAGGUAUAAGCUGUUUCAUGUAAAUUUAUUAUAGAAUUUUAUUUUUUAGUCAAAAAGCUAAAAUUUUUUUAAAAGACGAGAAGACCCUAUAAAUCUUUAUAUUCCUUUUUAUAUAAAUUGUUUAGAUUUAUUUUGUUUUUAUAGUUAGGAUUAUUUUAUUGGGGUGAUAUUAAAAUUUAAUUAACUUUUAAUUUUUAUAAAUCAUUGAUUUAUGAAUUAUUGAUCCAUUAAUAGUGAUUAGAAGUUUAAGUUACUUUAGGGAUAACAGCGUAAUUUUUUUGGAGAGUUCAUAUCGAUAAAAAAGAUUGCGACCUCGAUGUUGGAUUAAGAUAUAAUUUUAGGUGUAGCCGCUUAAAUUUUAAGUCUGUUCGACUUUUAAAUUCUUACAUGAUCUGAGUUCAAACCGGUG